Long non-coding RNA from Rosa rugosa (rugosa rose), 929 nucleotides. RefSeq lists it as uncharacterized. The record is from RefSeq and is a predicted model, not a curated record. The transcript is spliced from 2 exons. Lineage: Eukaryota; Viridiplantae; Streptophyta; Magnoliopsida; Rosales; Rosaceae.
CCGCAAUCUAUCGAAUUACGAACCCUCCGACUUACGAACUCUAGUUGUGUUGAUGCAAUCUAAACUCCAAAGCCCUAGCCAAAACUCUUCAAAGUCUCAACGCCUGUUCAUCCUAGUUAUUAAACCAAGCACGUCAACGCGGGCACUUAGGCUAUGUUUGGGGGGGGCUUUUUAGCUCCCCUGCUUAUAAGCACAAGAGGACUAUGCGUUUGGUUAGCUGACUUAUGCUCAGCUUAUUCGAAAAGCCACUGCAGCUUCUCUCGAAAAGCAGAAGCUGCCUGACCCCAGCUUUCAGAAGCCAGAAGCCAGCAGCUUACUGUAGCGGUACUUACUGUAGCUAAAUGAAUAUUUCAAAAUGACAGAUUCUAUCCUCCCUUGGGAGAGGCAAUUACGGAUUGCCAUCAAGCCUUCGAGAUGAGAUCAGAGGCCGCACAGCAUUUUCAUCUCUAUCCCAUCUCCACUCUCCCUCUGACGCUGUCGGGCUCUCAUCACAGACGCCGCCUCAGCCUCUCAUCACGAAAACCCCAAGCACAGAGCAAUCGAGCCAAACACCAUCACAUCAUGACCUGAACCCACAUCCUCCCCCAAUUUCAGAUCGGGAAGCCAGCUUUUCUUCAUCCUCUCUUUACUACAGAACGCAUCCUGGUGCUCAAAUGGUGAUGAAGAAGAAGACAAGGAAGUUGGUUGGAAAUACCUUCAUGGUGAUGUUUUCAGACAACCUUCAAACAUACCACUGUUUUGUGCCGUCUUGUUCAAGAUCCAAAGACACCGAUCUGGAAAACCUCGGAAAGGAUGUUAUUCAUCAUUCUUGAAUUAUUGAUAUGGAUUUUGAAAUACCAAAGUUUUGUACAGAUACUUGAUUAGAUUCAAGCAGAUCCUAUUUUUUCAUUAGUCCAUUUGAUCAGAGAGAACUAAUCUGCAUUUUGUGA